AGAGCUAUGCAACUGGGAGCAUGCUCUGGCCAGGCCUCACAUCACUGCUGUAACUUAGAUCCUUUCUGAUAUUGUUAUGUUAAUAGCAGUCAUACUGACAGUUUCUAUAAUUCCUGCAAAGGCUGUGAACAACUGCAAUCUGCCAAGGUUUUCUGAAUACAUUUUUGGAGAGCAGGUUGUUAACAAGUAUUCAGAGGCAUGAACUGUUAACUUUUAGGCUGGAGAAGAACACCACUGAUCACAGCUUUCCUGCAUUACCAGUCCACGGGUGGAGGAGCUCUGGUUAAAGCAAGCUUUCUCUCAAAUCAAUGGGAGCACUUCAAGCACGUUUCCUAUUUCUGCAACUGAUGUCAGAACAAUCAGUAGAUGAGAUUGGAGGAACAGUCAGAUCCCCAUAACAAGGCUAAAGAAUGUCAUUAGGUUAUGAAGAAAGAGGAAAGAAAGAAGGAAACAAUAAACAGAAGUUGAUGGCGCUUGGUUUCCUACGGGCAUGUAUCCCUCAGCAGCCUUUGAUAUCUAAUCAGGAGUUGCAUUUGGUAACACUGUGUUUUCAGUGGGAGCCCUUAGAACUCUGUCCAAUUUUGUUGAAAAUGGCCAAACAGAUCAAAGAUUACAAGCAAGAAGAAAUUCUUCCCAAAUGUGUGAAUAUACAAAUUUCAUUUCUUCAGAAAAUCAGGACAAAAAUGGACUUUAGUAUCUUGAUCCAGCCAUCAGGUGCCAAUCAAUCAGACAAAGGAACAAUAGAAAAAUGACCUCAAGAAAAAUUCAAGUGAUUAAUAAAAUAUUUAAAAUUUGAUUCUU
This is a long non-coding RNA of Coturnix japonica (Japanese quail), 801 nucleotides long. RefSeq lists it as uncharacterized. The record is from RefSeq and is a predicted model, not a curated record. NCBI's taxonomy places the organism in Eukaryota, Metazoa, Chordata, Aves, Galliformes, Phasianidae.